This is a non-coding RNA of Schizosaccharomyces pombe (fission yeast), 603 nucleotides long. The record is from the annotation of a GenBank genome assembly. NCBI's taxonomy places the organism in Eukaryota, Fungi, Ascomycota, Schizosaccharomycetes, Schizosaccharomycetales, Schizosaccharomycetaceae.
UAAUAACCAACGACUUCGAAAUUUGCGAGAGCCCAAGAGUGCCAAGCUUUAUACCACGAUUUAUCGAACAAAGUAGCAUAAAAAUAACAAUUCAAAAUAUCCCUUACGCUUUCUUGAUUAACACUAUCUUGAAGAGACUUUUUCCAUUUGCCAAGUUUAUGAAAACACCUUGCUAAAAACGAACGCUCUUCCGAACUUACAGAUGAUGAGGCUAAAAUAUCAACCAACUUUGAAGAAUCACCCAUUUUAUACCCAUGUUUUGACGAUAGAUAUGAGGUGAACUCUUCGAGCUCCGAUACCGCAAUAUUUUUUUGAUCUGUAGCCCACAAAUAUUUUAAAUACGUAUAUACAACAUGAGGAUUGAGAAGCUUAAGUGAGUCAAGCGGGUAAGCAUUUGAAGGAUCGCGACCCAUCAAAUAUGUGAGACACUGAUUUGAAAGCUUCAACCGGUCAGAACGACGGCAAAGAUCAGCUAAUUUUAUCCACAUUUCAGGAGAAUCUUGUGGAGACAAUACCAGAGCCCUAAACCGAAGCGUAUUAUGCCAAACAUCCACAUUUUUCUGACAUCCUUCAAGCCUUUUCCGCCACGUUUUUUUAAGAGAG